Molecule: ribosomal RNA, 269 nt
Filed under: uncultured bacterium
Lineage: Bacteria
Description: partial 16S ribosomal RNA
Rfam family: Bacterial small subunit ribosomal RNA
Source: RNAcentral
CUAGUUGGUAGGGUAAAGGCCUACCAAGGCCACGAUCGGUAGCUGGUCUGAGAGGAUGAUCAGCCACACUGGGACUGAGACACGGCCCAGACUCCUACGGGAGGCAGCAUGGGGAAUAUUGGACAAUGGGCGCAAGCCUGAUCCAGCAAUGCCGCGUGUGUGAAGAAGGCCUGCGGGUUGUAAAGCACUUUCAGUGGGGAAGAACAGGUUCGGGUCAAUACCCCGGAGCCCUGACGUUACCCACAGAAGAAGCACCGGCUAACUCCGUG